UGCGUAGGUGGCCGAUUAAGUCAGUGGUGAAAGCCUACAGCUCAACUGUAGAGGUGCCAUUGAUACUGGUCGGCUUGAGUAUGGACGAGGUAGGCGGAAUCUGUGGUGUAGCGGUGAAAUGCAUAGAUACCACAAAGAACACCAAUAGCGAAGGCAGCUUACUGGACCAUAACUGACACUGAGGCACGAAAGCGUGGGGAGCGAACAGGAUUAGAUACCCUGGUAGUCC
Molecule: ribosomal RNA, 229 nt
Filed under: uncultured bacterium
Lineage: Bacteria
Description: partial 16S ribosomal RNA
Rfam family: Bacterial small subunit ribosomal RNA
Source: RNAcentral